Molecule: ribosomal RNA, 484 nt
Filed under: uncultured bacterium
Lineage: Bacteria
Description: partial 16S ribosomal RNA
Rfam family: Bacterial small subunit ribosomal RNA
Source: RNAcentral
AUUGAACGCUGGCGGCAGGCCUAACACAUGCAAGUCGAGCGGAUGAAGGGAGCUUGCUCCUGGAUUCAGCGGCGGACGGGUGAGUAAUGCCUAGGAAUCUGCCUGGUAGUGGGGGAUAACGUCCGGAAACGGGCGCUAAUACCGCAUACGUCCUGAGGGAGAAAGUGGGGGAUCUUUGGACAUCACGCUAUCAGAUGAGCCUAGGUCGGAUUAGCUAGUUGGUGGGGUAAAGGCCUAGCAAGGCGACGAUCCGUGACUGGUCUGAGAGGAUGAUCAGUCACACUGGAACUGAGACACGGUCAAGACUCCUACGGGAGGCAGCAGUGGCGAAUAUUGGACAAUGGGCGAAAGCAUGAUCCAGCCAUGCCGCGUGUGUGAAGAAGGUCUUCGGAUUGUAAAGCACUUUUAGUUGGGAGGAAGGGCAGUAAGUUAAUACCUUGCUGUUUUGACGUUACCAGCAGAAUAAGCACCGGCUAACUACGUG